UACGGAGGAUGCGAGCGUUAUCCGGAUUCAUUGGGUUUAAAGGGUACGUAGGUGGCCCUGUAAGUCAGUGGUGAAAACCUGCCGCUUAACGGUAGGCGUGCCAUUGAUACUGCGGGGCUUGAGUACAGAUGAGGUAGGCGGAAUGUGUAGUGUAGCGGUGAAAUGCAUAGAUAUUACACAGAACUCCGAUUGCGAAGGCAGCUUACUAAACUGCAACUGACGCUGAUGUACGAAAGCGUGGGUAGCGAAC
RNAcentral lists this ribosomal RNA (250 nucleotides) under uncultured bacterium. RNAcentral's name for it is "partial 16S ribosomal RNA". It matches the Rfam family "Bacterial small subunit ribosomal RNA", at positions 524 to 773 of the family's 1533-position model. The record is from RNAcentral.